AAUCAUUUAUUUUUAUGUCUAUAUGAUGCAUAAGCCAAAUACUAUAAAAAUAUAUUAUUUUUAAUCAUUAGAUGUUUUUUAAUAUUAUAAAUUAUAAUCAAUGGUAUGGAUCUUCAGUUUGAUUUUUUGUAAUUAAUUUUUAAAACUAAUUAGAAUUUAGCAGCGAAUAAGUAUCCUCCUCUCAAAAGGCAUACAACAUCUCAUACACACACACACAUGCAAGCACAUACACACAAACAAAUCUCACUUUC
Molecule: long non-coding RNA, 251 nt
Filed under: Phoenix dactylifera (date palm)
Lineage: Eukaryota; Viridiplantae; Streptophyta; Magnoliopsida; Arecales; Arecaceae
Description: long non-coding RNA (PDAC_LNC001248)
Source: RNAcentral